Long non-coding RNA from Canis lupus familiaris (dog), 2019 nucleotides. RefSeq lists it as uncharacterized. The transcript has 2 exons. NCBI's taxonomy places the organism in Eukaryota, Metazoa, Chordata, Mammalia, Carnivora, Canidae. The record is from RefSeq and is a predicted model, not a curated record.
CGGGACGUGCAGCCGCCCGGCCGUCGGGCGCCCGACGUGCCUCUGCCUCCGCGCCCCGCACGCGGGCUCCGAAGGCAGGUGCCCGGCCCGCGGGGCCCGCAGCCUAAUCUCCAUCUCCAGCGUGGCCGGCAGGUCCUCUCCGCCGUCUGAGAAUCAACGAGGGACGCGCGGACUGGGACGGAAGCCGGGUGGGCACUCUGCGUCUUCUGCUUGGCAUCAGCGAUGCGCUCUUUCCCUCUUAUUACGGAGCAAGACUACCCGGCACACCAGCGGCUUACCAACCUGCUCGCCCUUCCAAAUCCUAAGUAACUGGGGCUUCGCUAACUAAUCAUCACUUACGUUUCUCUUCUCAAUUGGGAAAGGUGUCUUUCUGCCCCUACUUUAUCAAGAAGGAAUCCUCUAUUAUCGAUCACUGUUACCAGAGCCUUCGUGCAACAGCCACAUGAGUGCCUGGAACACUGUCCUGUGCAACCCAGUGUCUGCUCUGGAUUAACUUCCCCCAAUUUCACUGCCACUUCUGCUUUCAGGGGCCUGAGGGAGCUGUUUAUGCUACAAACUGCCUCUGUAGGCACUGCCGUGCAGGAUUUUUGAAAGCACAAUAGUAAAGAGACUUGAAAGUUGUACUAUCUUCUCUCUUGUUUGUUUGCACCCCUCCUGCCUUUCUAGUAAACCAUCAUAACAAAUGUCUCCUUGGUGCAAUUCUCUUUCCUCCUCAGAAUUAUGUUGUGGAGCAGGACUUUGAAGAAUCCUGACUCCUGAAACGGCUGGUAGGUAAGACAAGCGCUGCCCUCAAAGCCUGAUUUUGAGGACACUCCCUCCAGAGGCUCUGUCUUCCUAUCUCCUUUUAGAAACAAUGAGCCUAUUUAGAGGAAACAAUUCAAACAGUAAAUAAUUUGCUUGGUAGAGUAACACUGGUUUCUGCCCACAGAAAUUGGAAAGGAAGAACAAGGUUUUGAACCUCAGUAAACUCUACCCUGAUGGCCUAAGAAUUUUUCUCUCUUUGAAGAAAUCUAAUCAGAGGGACGGACUAUGGAAGCAGAAAUGAGACGUUGUCAUCUAGGUGCUAAUCAGCAGGGGGCACUGUUUACCUCCCUUUGUCCUAGAGAAGCCACAUGAGACUUGAUCUUAGACAAACCCAAGGCGGCUGAGAACACCACAGUAUUUCUGAGACUGGUAGAUGUGAACAGAUAAUCUCCUCUUGAUCCAGGGAAACAGGUGACACCCUUUAAAGGCAUGAUGGAUGGGCAGCACGGGGCCCAGUGCUAUUGUUUUCCUGGUGACCAACAAUACAACAAUAUAUCAGCAGGUGUAUAUGUCCAUCCCCAAUUCUUGUCUCCCAUCCCUUCCACAUCUGGUAUGACUCUAUGUCCUGACCAUCACACUCCUCUUUCCCCUUGUUUUACCCUAAUGAGCAUAUGACUUCACCUAGGACUGAGAGGACCUUGGACAUGGUUGUACAACAUUGUGAAUGUUCUGCCACUGAACUAUACACUUAAAAAUGGUUAAAAUGGCAAAUGUUACGGAUAUUUUGUUACAAUUUUUUUAAAAGAGGACCUCAGACAAAUUCCAGGAGGAAAAACAAGUUUGGACUGACCUUGCCAUACCCUUCCCUUUCUUUGUUCAAGCAAUCCAGCAAAGUCUGUGCUUUUCAGAAAAGCUUCUCAGGUGGAAGCUGAGCUGUGAACUUCCUUGGACCGUGGUAUUGGACAGAGUGCCCUUCACCCUCAAAAGGCAUAUAUCAUGUUGCUGAUGACUCUGACCCUUGCUCUCUACUUUAAACUUUGUUGCCUUCUCCUUACUCAGCACUUUCCAAUUCCUAUAAACACUUCACUUUCCUUCUUUGAUCCUUUGAGCCAGAAAUCCCCCAACUUUUUCUGUAAAAGGCCAGACAGUACCUUUUCCUGGCUUUGUAGGGAAGCCACAGGGUGUGGUAACUACUCUGGUGUAGGGAGAAAGCCAAUAAAUAAUAUGUAAGUGAAUGGGCAUGGGUGUUGUUCCAAUAAAACAGUACAAAACUAG